Molecule: ribosomal RNA, 495 nt
Filed under: uncultured bacterium
Lineage: Bacteria
Description: bacterial SSU rRNA
Rfam family: Bacterial small subunit ribosomal RNA
Source: RNAcentral
AGUGAACGCUGGCGGCAGGCCUAACACAUGCAAGUCGAGCGGCAGCACGGCAAUAGCAAUAUUGUGGGUGGCGAGCGGCGGACGGGUGAGGAAUGCAUCGGGAUCUACCCUGUCGUGGGGGACAACGUAGGGAAACUUACGCUAAUACCGCAUGAUCUGGAGACAGCAAAGCCGGGGACCCGCGAGGGCCUGGCGCGAUGGGAUGAGCCGAUGUCCGAUUAGCUAGUUGGCGGGGUAAAGGCCCACCAAGGCGACGAUCGGUAGCUGGUCUGAGAGGACGACCAGCCACACUGGAACUGAGACACGGUCCAGACUCCUACGGGAGGCAGCAGUAGGGAAUAUUGGACAAUGGGGGCAACCCUGAUCCAGCCAUGCCGCGUGAGUGAAGAAGGCCCUCGGGUUGUAAAGCUCUUUUGUCCGGAAAGAAAGCAUCUGGUUAAUACCCGGGUUUCUGACGGUACCGGAAGAAUAAGCACCGGCUAACUUCGUGCCAGC